ACUCCUACGGGAGGCAGCAGUGGGGAAUAUUGCACAAUGGGGGAAACCCUGAUGCAGCCAUGCCGCGUGUGUGAAGAAGGCCUUCGGGUUGUAAAGCACUUUCAGUAGGGAGGAAGGUAGUGUAGUUAACACCUGCAUUAUUUGACGUUACCUACAGAAGAAGCACCGGCUAACUCCGUGCCAGCAGCCGCGGUAAUACGGAGGGUGCGAGCGUUAAUCGGAAUUACUGGGCGUAAAGCGCAUGCAGGCGGCCUGUUAAGUCAGAUGUGAAAGCCCGGGGUCUUAACCUCGGAAUUGCAUUUGAAACUGGCAGGCUAGAGUCUUGUAGAGGGGUUAGAAUUUCAGGUGUAGCGGUGAAAUGCGUAGAGAUCUGAAGGAAUACCAGUGGCGAAGGCGGCCCCCUGGACAAAGGCUAGACGCUCAGAUGCGAAAGCGUGGGAGCAAACAGGAUUAGAUACCCCGUGGUAGACUGUCA
This 475-nucleotide ribosomal RNA is filed under the name uncultured bacterium. RNAcentral describes it as "bacterial SSU rRNA". It matches the Rfam family "Bacterial small subunit ribosomal RNA", at positions 335 to 802 of the family's 1533-position model. The record is from RNAcentral.